Molecule: ribosomal RNA, 2141 nt
Filed under: human gut metagenome
Description: bacterial LSU rRNA
Rfam family: Bacterial large subunit ribosomal RNA
Source: RNAcentral
AGGGCGUAUGGUGGAUGCCUUGGCAGACAGUACCGAUGAAGGACGUUUGAGGAUGCGAUAAUCCUAGGGGAGCCUCCAACAUGGCUUUGAUCCUAGGGUCUCCGAAUGGGGGAACCCGCCGGCCGUCAUGGGCCGGCACCGCCUAUGGGCGGGGGGUACGCAGGGAAGUGAAACAUCUCAGUACCUGCAGGAAGGGAUACUCCGUGAGUAGUGGCGAGCGAAAGCGGAUCAGACCAAACCGGUUGCGCGUGAUACCCGUCGGGGGUUGCGUUGCCGGUGUCGUGGGAUCACGUGUCCCGGUUCCGACGGGCCGGGCGGGAGUCAUAAAACGGCUUGCCAGGGGAACAGGCUUGAAGGCCUGGCCGUAGAGGGUGCCAGCCCCGUACCUGGACGUGAGCCGUCUUCCGAUCGUGUUGUCCCAAGUAGCGCGGGCCUCGUGGAAUCCCGCGUGAAUCAGCCCAGACCGUUGGGUAAGUCUAAGCAUACCUGUCUGACCGAUAGCGUACCAGUACCGUGAGGGAAAGGUGAAAAGCACCCCGGGAGGGGAGUGAAACAGUUCCUGAAACCGUGCGCCCACAAACCGUCGGAGCCUCCUUGUGGGGUGACGGCGUGCCUAUCGAAAAAUGAGUCUGCGAGUCAGUGGCGGGUGGCGAGCAUAAGCCGUGUGGCGUAUGCGUAGCGAAAGCGAGUCUUAAAAGGCGUUUUUUAGUCGCUUGUCCUGGACCCGAAGCGGGAUGAUCUAGCCCUGGGCAGGUUGAAGCGCGGGUAAGACCGCGUGGAGGACCGAACCCACCUGGGUUGAAAACCGGGGGGAUGACCUGGGGCUAGGGGUGAAAGGCCAAUCAAAUUCCGUGAUAGCUGGUUCUCUCCGAAAUGCAUUUAGGUGCAGCGUCGGUCGAUUGCGUCGCGGGGGUAGAGCUACCGGAUGCUUGCGGGCCCUUGUUGGGUACCAACAGCAGCCGAACUCCGAAUACCGUUGACGUGUAUUCCGGCAGUGAGUCGGCGGGGGAUAAGCUCCGUCGUCGAGAGGGAGACAGCCCAGACCGUCGUCUAAGGUCCCGAAGCGUGUGCUAAGUGGGAAAGGAUGUGGAGUCGCAUAGACAGCCAGGAGGUUGGCUCAGAAGCAGCCAUCCUUGAAAGAGUGCGUAACAGCUCACUGGUCUAGUGGUUCCGCGCCGACAAUGUAGCGGGGCUCAAGCACACCACCGAAGACGCGGCAGCAAUCUUCAUGGUUGCUGGGUAGGAGAGCGUCCUGCGAGGGGCGAAGCGGCCGGGUAACCGUGCCGUGGACUUCGUGGGAGUGAGAAUGCAGACAUGAGUAGCGAGAGACGGGUGAGGAUCCCGUCCGCUGGAUGACCAAGGGUUCCGGGGCCACGUUCGUCGUCCCCGGGUGAGUCGGGUCCUAAGGCGAGGCCGACAGGCGUAGUCGAAUGGAUGAACGGGUGGAUAUUCCCGUACCGACCAUGGACCGGCAAAACCGAGACGGUGAGUACUAACCUCCGCCUCGUGGUGGUUCCUUCCUUCGGGUUGGUUCCGCCGCGUGGUGUUGGGACUGUAGCCGCAGUAGGUCAGCGCAGGGGUGACACGGAAUGGGAGCCGGCCGCGGAGGUGGUUUUCCGUGGUCAAGCACGCAGCCAGUCAUGUAGGCAAAUCCGCAUGGCGCGCAUGGCGAGGUGUGAUGAUGGGAGCCGUUAUGGCUCGAUAUCCGGUUGUCCAGGCCGUCGAGAAAAGCCUCGGCGUGAGGGCCAUGGCCGCCCGUACCCCAAACCGACACUGGUGGUCAGGUAGAGAAUACCAAGGCGAUCGAGCGAAUCCUGGUCAAGGAACUCGGCAAAUCACUCCCGUGCCUUCGGUAUAAGGGAGACCCGCUGGGGUGAACCGGCUAGCCCGGGGAGCUUUGGUGGGUGGCACAGACCAGGGGGUAGCGACUGUUUACCAAAAACACAGGUGCAUGCGAAGGCGAAAGCCGCUGUAUAUGCACUGACGCCUGCCCGGUGCCGGAAGGUUAAGAGGAUCCGUCAGUCCCUUCGGGAUGAAGCGGUGAAUUCAAGCCCCGGUAAACGGCGGUGGUAACUAUAACCAUCCUAAGGUAGCGAAAUUCCUUGUCGGGUAAGUUCCGACCUGCACGAAUGGCGUAACGA